This 253-nucleotide ribosomal RNA is filed under the name uncultured bacterium. Its description in RNAcentral is "partial 16S ribosomal RNA". It matches the Rfam family "Bacterial small subunit ribosomal RNA", at positions 524 to 776 of the family's 1533-position model. The record is from RNAcentral.
UACGGAGGGUGCGAGCGUUGUCCGGAAUCACUGGGCGUAAAGAGCUCGUAGGCGGUCUGUCGCGUCGGCUGUGAAAACUCGGGGCUCAACUCCGAGCUUGCAGUCGAUACGGGCAGGCUAGAGUUCGGCAGGGGAGACUGGAAUUCCUGGUGUAGCGGUGAAAUGCGCAGAUAUCAGGAGGAACACCGAUGGCGAAGGCAGGUCUCUGGGCUGUAACUGACGCUGAGGAGCGAAAGCAUGGGGAGCGAACAGG